GGCCAGUCAUCGGUGCCCUUCCCCUCCUAGGGACCAUGCCCCAUGUCACAUUAGCCAAAAUGGCAAAAAAAUAUGGUCCCGUCAUGUACCUGAAAAUGGGUACCUGUAAUAUGGUGGUAGCGUCCACUCCUGAUGCAGCUCGAGCGUUCCUCAAAACCCUAGACCUCAAUUUCUCAAACCGUCCUCCAAAUGCAGGGGCUAC
RNAcentral lists this unclassified non-coding RNA (202 nucleotides) under Hevea brasiliensis (rubber tree). The record is from RNAcentral. Lineage: Eukaryota; Viridiplantae; Streptophyta; Magnoliopsida; Malpighiales; Euphorbiaceae.